This 498-nucleotide ribosomal RNA is filed under the name uncultured bacterium. Its description in RNAcentral is "partial 16S ribosomal RNA". It matches the Rfam family "Bacterial small subunit ribosomal RNA", at positions 28 to 506 of the family's 1533-position model. The record is from RNAcentral.
GAUGAACGCUGGCGGCGUGCCUAAUACAUGCAAGUCGAGCGAACAGACGAGAGUGCUUGCACUCUCUGACGUUAGCGGCGGACGGGUGAGUAACACGUGGGUAACCUACCUAUAAGACUGGGAUAACUUCGGGAAACCGGAGCUAAUACCGGAUAAUAUUUAGCUUCGCAUGAAGCAAUAGUGAAAGACGGUUCUGCUGUCACUUAUAGAUGGACCCGCGGUGUAUUAGCUAGUUGGUGAGGUAACGGCUCACCAAGGCAACGAUACAUAGCCGACCUGAGAGGGUGAUCGGCCACACUGGGACUGAGACACGGCCCAGACUCCUACGGGAGGCAGCAGUAGGGAAUCUUCCGCAAUGGACGAAAGUCUGACGGAGCAAUGCCGCGUGAGUGAAGAAGGUUUUCGGAUCGUAAAACGCUGUUGUAAGGGAAGAACAAGUACGUUAGUAACUGAACGUACCUUGACAGUACCUUACCAGAAAGCCACGGCUAACUACGU